AGCGUAGGCGGAUUUUUAAGUGAGAUGUGAAAUACUCGGGCUUAACCUGAGUGCUGCAUUUCAAACUGGAAGUCUAGAGUGCAGGAGAGGAGAAGGGAAUUCCUAGUGUAGCGGUGAAAUGCGUAGAGAUUAGGAAGAACACCAGUGGCGAAGGCGCUUCUCUGGACUGUAACUGACGCUGAGGCUGAAAGCGUGGGGAGCAAACA
RNAcentral lists this ribosomal RNA (206 nucleotides) under uncultured bacterium. RNAcentral's name for it is "partial 16S ribosomal RNA". It matches the Rfam family "Bacterial small subunit ribosomal RNA", at positions 568 to 774 of the family's 1533-position model. The record is from RNAcentral.